Non-coding RNA from Pelobates cultripes (western spadefoot toad), 472 nucleotides. The record is from the annotation of a GenBank genome assembly. Lineage: Eukaryota; Metazoa; Chordata; Amphibia; Anura; Pelobatidae.
GGGGAGAAGAGAGUGACAAGGGAGGGGGGAGAGAUUGACAUCCAUCACACACACACACACACAAUCACACACAAUGCACCCCUUACACACAAAGACAAUGAACCCCUUGCACACAGAAAAACACACAAUGCAUUACACACACAAUGCAUUACAUACACACACACACGCAAUGCAACCCUUACACACAAUGCAUCCCUUGCACACACAGAAACACACAAUGCAUUCCUUACACACACUCAAUGCACCCCUUACAGACUCACACAGCAUCCCUUACAUACACAGAAACACACCUUGCAGCCCUUACACAUACAAACACAGAUUCACACAAUGCAUUCCUUACACACAAAUCAGGACAUCCCCUACACACUCCAUCCCCUGUGAACAAACUCAUUGGUGGAAAAUGAAGGUGGACCCUGGGACCCAGACCUUGAGCUGUGUAAAGGGCCCCCAAAAAAUGGAGCUGCUUCUCGUU